This 2734-nucleotide long non-coding RNA is filed under the name Carassius auratus (goldfish). RNAcentral's name for it is "lncRNA (ENSCARG00000064551.1)". The record is from RNAcentral. Lineage: Eukaryota; Metazoa; Chordata; Actinopteri; Cypriniformes; Cyprinidae.
AUGGCUGUGGUUUUCACCUCGACAAGCCACAGGAAUCCUCCAUUUUUUUCAGAUGUUCUGAACAUCACACAAAACCCUAAACAGACUAAUUAUCUCUCUCUGUGGAGCCCUGGAGAUGUUUCUCAUUCGGCUGCCUUCUUUAUGCAACACCACAGAGUCCUGAAGCAAAGACUCUUCCUCUGGAAGCUGGAGUGUCCUUCAGCACCUGGCCUUGUUUUUGAGCUCGCUUAAAGAGAGAGUGGCUCUGAAUCCAAAGGGCAGCGGUGUCAAAUCAUAAAAACACCCAAGAGUCUGGCUCAUAACCCAUAAUCCCCUGAAUGCCAUGCUUCUCACAUCCUUGGAUAUAAUUGAAUAUGGAGUGAUCCAGCUUCCGUGGAUCUCUUUUUGGGGGGCCGUAUCUUGAUGCUUUGGCUAAUUAAUUCUCUCUUACCUGACUUCCUCCAUUCAAAGUGAAUCCAGGCAAUUAGAAAGAGCGACUCCCUGGAGCGAUGGUAUGAGAGGGAGGUGAACGGCUCGUAAGGAGAGCAACAGAAAGCUCCUCAUUACUCCACAGACGUGUCCAUCUGGUUUAAGGAGGACCCCGUGGAGGUUACAGGGGGUCGUCACUUCCAUAAUAAUGCUUAUGGAUAAUAAAUCAGAACCAAUACAUGGAUCACAGCAGUUCAUGAGCUCCCUCUUCUGGACACAAUUAGAGACGCCACAGUGAAAUAAAUGUCUUCUGGAGAGCAGAUUUCAGUAAUGUCUGUGAUAAGAUGAGGUAUUAAGAGAUCAGUUCAAGCAGGAACCGUUGAUUACCUUGAACUACGCUAUAUAACUGUCCGAAUAAAAAGUGCUGGUUAUUUCAAAUCUAUUUUGGUGUUUUAAAGGGAUAAUUCACCCCAAGAUUAAAAUUCUGUCACUUUUUACUGUUUACUCACCCACUGUUAACGCAUUUCUAUUGUAUGGAGUGAAAAAAAAUGGCAACAAAAAAUUGAAAAAAUUGUUCAACAAAAGAAAGAAACUCAUACAGGUUUGGAAAAACAUCAUGGUAAUAUGUAAUAAUAUUUAAAAGAUACUGUUUAAAAUUGUGGGGGCAGUAAGAUGUUUUAUUUGAUUUAUUUAUUUAUUUAUUAUUUUCUUUUUUGGACUAAGUCGCUUCUGAAAGCCAAGGCUGCAUUUAAUGAUUCAAAAACAGUGAAAUAUUAUUACAAUUUAAAAUACCUAUUUUAUAUUUAAACAUAUUUAAAAUAUAUAUAUAUAUAUAUUCCUGUGGUGGAAAGUGAUAUUUUCCUCAUCUUUACUCCAAUCAAGAGCUUGCAGUGAUGUCAGCUGCCCUUGGCCUUUUAGUUUAAUUUCAGGUCCUGAUGUGUUUGAUUUGAAAUGUCAGCGGUCGUGAUACCUUUGAGUAAUGAACUACUGUCACAAUCAUCUUCAUUACGCCGCUGACCUUUCAGAAACAAAUGGAGAAAUAGAUUGCCUCCGUGCCAGUGAUUGAGUGAGUUCACAACUAUUUCUAAACAUGAAAAUAACUUCGUUUUGUUUUCGCUCCCAAAAGCACCUCUUGUUUUUCCUCUUUACUAAACAUGUUUAAAUCUAACUUUCUCCUUGUGUUUACUGGGAAAAUUGAGCUGCGUGCCUUUAAAUAGAUCUUAUCUGUCAUCAGCUGUUUCAUGAAGUCUUUGAAUAAAGCAGAACGUCAGAACUCUCUCCUCAAAAUAAUGAGUGGCUUGUUUUCCACUAAAAGCCUGUCAUCUCGCACUAACAGCAUGUAAAAAAAGUAUAACAGACUCUAUUAAUUAGAUAGCGUCGCACUUUUACUCGUGUCUCCUCACUCGAGCACUAGAUUUGCUGUAGAGGUGAUGCACAAAUAAUAUCAUAAAGAGUGCAACAGCAGGUCUAAAGCUGCAGCGCUGCAUAUUUAUGAGCGAACAAAAGUUCAGUCUUGUUUGUUCUGCCACCCAUGAAACCUGCGGCAUGUAGAGCAACUGUCACUUCCACGAAAACUUUAACACCAUUCAAAUGCACUCGUGUUUUAGCAUGCAUGUCUUAAUGAGGAAGUCACAUUGACUUAGUUCACUUUGUAUAACAGUGUUGCCCUUAAGUCACAUUUAUUAAAUCUAAAUUAGAGAGGACUUUGCUUAAUGAGUUUUGAUUUGUGACCACACGACCCUAUAAAGAUCUUAAGGAUAUGCAAAGACGAAAUUGUCUGUGACUGUCACUUUACGCUUGAGCUGGUUACUCGCUUCUGCCCAUAGAGUCUGUUCACCUCCAGUCAGUCCUCGUCCUUCUCCAACUGUUUACAGAUACACACCGUCUGAAUCUUUAAAUGAGACUUUUGACUUCCAAACAAGUUAAGCUUUAUUGACUGUGACACUAAUGCCGACUCGUUCCUCCGUAAACUUGUCAAAUAGUCGAACCAAAAUUAUGUUUGCAGUAAUGCACUUACAGCGAAGUUUCUGGCACAUUCUAGAGCUUAAAAACAGCAACGUGGAGCCCGUUCAGACAUUUGAUGAUUAGACCUAAACUCUGUCAUGAUGACGACGAAAACCUCAUUAAAAGAAGCAAAAGAAAACCUUAAUGUAGUGUUUUUGUUUAUAUAAAAUAAAAGGAUGUUAAUAUGUGAGACAUUAAAUAUACAUACAUACACAUCAUUUGAAAAUGGUGUUAAAGUUUGGUAUAAAACAUAAUUCAAACAUAUAAAUACGAAUAUAAAUAGUACAUUUCUCUCUCUCUAUAAUGAUUAGUAUUGUGGCUG